CCUACGGGGUGCAGCAGUGGGGAAUAUUGCACAAUGGGCGCAAGCCUGAUGCAGCCAUGCCGCGUGUAUGAAGAAGGCCUUCGGGUUGUAAAGUACUUUCAGCGAGGAGGAAGGCAUUAAGGUUAAUAACCUUAGUGAUUGACAUUACUCGCAGAAGAAGCACCGGCUAACUCCGUGCCAGCAGCCGCGGUAAUACGGAGGGUGCAAGCGUUAAUCGGAAUUACUGGGCGUAAAGCGCACGCAGGCGGUCUGUCAAGUCGGAUGUGAAAUCCCCGGGCUCAACCUGGGAACUGCAUUCGAAACUGGUAGGCUAGAGUCUUGUAGAGGGGGGUAGAAUUCCAGGUGUAGCGGUGAAAUGCGUAGAGAUCUGGAGGAAUACCGGUGGCGAAGGCGGCCCCCUGGACAAAGACUGACGCUCAGGUGCGAAAGCGUGGGGAGCAAACAGGAUUAGAUACCCGUGUAGUC
Molecule: ribosomal RNA, 465 nt
Filed under: uncultured bacterium
Lineage: Bacteria
Description: bacterial SSU rRNA
Rfam family: Bacterial small subunit ribosomal RNA
Source: RNAcentral